CCUACGGGUGGCAGCAGUGGGGAAUAUUGCACAAUGGGGGAAACCCUGAUGCAGCGACGCAGCGUGAAUGAAGAAGUAUUUCGGUAUGUAAAGCUCUAUCAACAGGGAAGAAAAUGACGGUACCUGAUUCAGUAGCCCCGUCUAACUACGUGCCAGAAGCCGCGGGAAUACGUAGGGGGCAAGCGUUAUCCGGAUUUACUGGGUGUAAAGGGAUCGUAGACGGCAGCAUAAGUCUGGAGUGAAAUGCCGGGGCUUAACCCCGGAACUGCUUUGGAUACUGUAAAGCUAGAGUGAAGUAGAGGUAAGCGGAAUUCCUAGUGUAGCGGUGAAAUGCGUAGAUAUUAGGAGGAAAACCAGUGGCGAAGGCGGCUUACUGGACUGUAACUGACGUUGAGGCUCGAAAGCGUGGGGAGCAAACAGGAUUAGAUACCCGAGUAGUC
This 440-nucleotide ribosomal RNA is filed under the name uncultured bacterium. RNAcentral describes it as "partial 16S ribosomal RNA". It matches the Rfam family "Bacterial small subunit ribosomal RNA", at positions 338 to 795 of the family's 1533-position model. The record is from RNAcentral.